GUGGGGAAUAUUGGACAAUGGGCGAAAGCCUGAUCCAGCCAUGCCGCGUGAGUGAUGAAGGCCUUAGGGUUGUAAAGCUCUUUCAGUGGGGACGAUAAUGACGGUACCCACAGAAGAAGCCCCGGCUAACUUCGUGCCAGCAGCCGCGGUAAUACGAAGGGGGCUAGCGUUGUUCGGAUUUACUGGGCGUAAAGCGCACGUAGGCGGAUCGUUAAGUCAGGGGUGAAAUCCUGGAGCUCAACUCCAGAACUGCCUUUGAUACUGGCGAUCUAGAGUCCGGAAGAGGUGAGUGGAACUCCUAGUGUAGAGGUGGAAUUCGUAGAUAUUAGGAAGAACACCAGUGGCGAAGGCGGCUCACUGGUCCGGUACUGACGCUGAGGUGCGAAAGCGUGGGGAGCAAACAGGAUUAGAAACCCGUGUAGUCC
This 425-nucleotide ribosomal RNA is filed under the name uncultured bacterium. RNAcentral describes it as "partial 16S ribosomal RNA". It matches the Rfam family "Bacterial small subunit ribosomal RNA", at positions 354 to 796 of the family's 1533-position model. The record is from RNAcentral.